AGUAAUGCGUGACCGACCUGCCCCAUGCUCCGGAAUAGCUCCUGGAAACGGGUGGUAAUGCCGGAUGUUCCACAUGAUCGCAUGUGAUUGUGGGAAAGAUUUCAUCGGCGUGGGAUGGGGUCGCGUCCUAUCAGCUUGUUGGUGAGGUAACGGCUCACCAAGGCUUCGACUGGUAGCCGGCCUGAGAGGGCGACCGGCCACAUUGGGACUGAGAUACGGCCCAG
RNAcentral lists this ribosomal RNA (224 nucleotides) under uncultured Bifidobacteriales bacterium. RNAcentral's name for it is "partial 16S ribosomal RNA". It matches the Rfam family "Bacterial small subunit ribosomal RNA", at positions 109 to 334 of the family's 1533-position model. Lineage: Bacteria; Bacillati; Actinomycetota; Actinomycetes; Bifidobacteriales. The record is from RNAcentral.